Molecule: ribosomal RNA, 468 nt
Filed under: uncultured bacterium
Lineage: Bacteria
Description: partial 16S ribosomal RNA
Rfam family: Bacterial small subunit ribosomal RNA
Source: RNAcentral
GACGAACGCUGGCGGCGUGCUUAACACAUGCAAGUCGAACGGAAAGGCCCUGCUUUUGUGGCGUGCUCGAGUGGCGAACGGGUGAGUAACACGUGAGUAACCUGCCCUUGUCUUUGGGAUAACUUCAGGAAACUGGGGCUAAUACCGGAUAGAAGCUCCUGCUGCACGGUGGGGGUUGGAGAGUUUCGGCGGUUGGGGAUGGACUCGCGGCUUAUCAGCUUGUUGGUGGGGUAGUGGCUUACCAAGGCUUUGACGGGUAGCCGGCCUGAGAGGGUGACCGGCCACAUUGGGACUGAGAUACGGCCCAGACUCCUACGGGAGGCAGCAGUGGGGAAUAUUGCACAAUGGGCGGAAGCCUGAUGCAGCAACGCCGCGUGCGGGAUGACGGCCUUCGGGUUGUAAACCGCUUUCGCCUGUGACGAAGCGUGAGUGACGGUAAUGGGUAAAGAAGCACCGGCUAACUACGUG